Molecule: ribosomal RNA, 1402 nt
Filed under: Vibrio campbellii
Lineage: Bacteria; Pseudomonadati; Pseudomonadota; Gammaproteobacteria; Vibrionales; Vibrionaceae
Description: bacterial SSU rRNA
Rfam family: Bacterial small subunit ribosomal RNA
Source: RNAcentral
AUGCAAGUCGAGCGGAAACGAGUUAUCUGAACCUUCGGGGGACGAUAACGGCGUCGAGCGGCGGACGGGUGAGUAAUGCCUAGGAAAUUGCCCUGAUGUGGGGGAUAACCAUUGGAAACGAUGGCUAAUACCGCAUAAUGCCUACGGGCCAAAGAGGGGGACCUUCGGGCCUCUCGCGUCAGGAUAUGCCUAGGUGGGAUUAGCUAGUUGGUGAGGUAAUGGCUCACCAAGGCGACGAUCCCUAGCUGGUCUGAGAGGAUGAUCAGCCACACUGGAACUGAGACACGGUCCAGACUCCUACGGGAGGCAGCAGUGGGGAAUAUUGCACAAUGGGCGCAAGCCUGAUGCAGCCAUGCCGCGUGUGUGAAGAAGGCCUUCGGGUUGUAAAGCACUUUCAGUCGUGAGGAAGGUGGUGUAGUUAAUAGCUGCAUUAUUUGACGUUAGCGACAGAAGAAGCACCGGCUAACUCCGUGCCAGCAGCCGCGGUAAUACGGAGGGUGCGAGCGUUAAUCGGAAUUACUGGGCGUAAAGCGCAUGCAGGUGGUUUGUUAAGUCAGAUGUGAAAGCCCGGGGCUCAACCUCGGAAUAGCAUUUGAAACUGGCAGACUAGAGUACUGUAGAGGGGGGUAGAAUUUCAGGUGUAGCGGUGAAAUGCGUAGAGAUCUGAAGGAAUACCGGUGGCGAAGGCGGCCCCCUGGACAGAUACUGACACUCAGAUGCGAAAGCGUGGGGAGCAAACAGGAUUAGAUACCCUGGUAGUCCACGCCGUAAACGAUGUCUACUUGGAGGUUGUGGCCUUGAGCCGUGGCUUUCGGAGCUAACGCGUUAAGUAGACCGCCUGGGGAGUACGGUCGCAAGAUUAAAACUCAAAUGAAUUGACGGGGGCCCGCACAAGCGGUGGAGCAUGUGGUUUAAUUCGAUGCAACGCGAAGAACCUUACCUACUCUUGACAUCCAGAGAACUUUCCAGAGAUGGAUUGGUGCCUUCGGGAACUCUGAGACAGGUGCUGCAUGGCUGUCGUCAGCUCGUGUUGUGAAAUGUUGGGUUAAGUCCCGCAACGAGCGCAACCCUUAUCCUUGUUUGCCAGCGAGUAAUGUCGGGAACUCCAGGGAGACUGCCGGUGAUAAACCGGAGGAAGGUGGGGACGACGUCAAGUCAUCAUGGCCCUUACGAGUAGGGCUACACACGUCCUACAAUGGCGCAUACAGAGGGCAGCAAGCUAGCGAUAGUGAGCGAAUCCCAAAAAGUGCGUCGUAGUCCGGAUUGGAGUCUGCAACUCGACUCCAUGAAGUCGGAAUCGCUAGUAAUCGUGGAUCAGAAUGCCACGGUGAAUACGUUCCCGGGCCUUGUACACACCGCCCGUCACACCAUGGGAGUGGGCUGCAAAAGAAGUAGGUAGUUU